RNAcentral lists this small nuclear RNA (107 nucleotides) under Colobus angolensis palliatus. Lineage: Eukaryota; Metazoa; Chordata; Mammalia; Primates; Cercopithecidae. The record is from RNAcentral.
GUGCUCGCUUCAGCAGCACAUAUACUAAAAUUGGAAUGAUACAGAGAAGAUCAGCAUGGCCCCUGCACAAGGAUUACAUGCAAAUUCGAGAAGCUUUCCAUAUUUUU